GCGAACGGGUGAGUAACGUGUGGGUAAUCUACCUAGAGGUGGGGGAUAGCCUCGGGAAACCGGGGGUAAUACCGCAUAAGUCCCGACUGACUUAAGUCUAACGGGGGAAAGGCGGGGAUCUUCGGACCUGUCGCCACUAGAUGAGCCCGCAUCCGAUUAGCUUGUUGGUGAGGUAAUGGCUCACCAAGGCAUCAAUCGGUAGCCGGCCUGAGAGGGUGAACGGCCACAUUGGGACUGAGACACGGCCCAGACUCCUACGGGAGGCAGCAGUGGGGAAUUUUGGGCAAUGGGGGAAACCCUGACCCAGCGACGCCGCGUGGAGGAUGAAGGCCUUCGGGUUGUAAACUCCUGUCAGGUGGGAAGAAGAGUCCUGUGGAUAAUACUCACAGGGAAUUGACGGUACCACCAAAGGAAGCCCCGGCUAACUCCGUGCCAGCAGCCGCGGUAAUACGGAGGGGGCAAGCGUUAUUCGGAUUUACUGGGCGUAAAGCGCACGUAGGCGGCAAUGUAAGUCACAGGUGAAAGCCCUCGGCUCAACCGAGGAACUGCCUGCGAAACUGUAUUGCUUGAGUCCGGGAGGGGGGAGCGGAAUUCCAAGUGUAGCGGUGAAAUGCGUAGAUACUUGGAGGAACACCGGUGGCGAAGCGGCUCCCUGGACCGGUACUGACGCUGAGUGCGAAAGCGUGGGUAGCAAACAGGAUUAGAUACCCUGGUAGUCCACGCCGUAAACGAUG
Molecule: ribosomal RNA, 734 nt
Filed under: uncultured bacterium
Lineage: Bacteria
Description: bacterial SSU rRNA
Rfam family: Bacterial small subunit ribosomal RNA
Source: RNAcentral